AGUGAACGCUGGCGGUAGGCCUAACACAUGCAAGUCGAACGGCAGCACAGUAAGAGCUUGCUCUUACGGGUGGCGAGUGGCGGACGGGUGAGGAAUACAUCGGAAUCUACUUUUUCGUGGGGGAUAACGUAGGGAAACUUACGCUAAUACCGCAUACGACCUACGGGUGAAAGCAGGGGAUCUUCGGACCUUGCGCGAUUGAAGGAGCCGAUGUCGGGUUAGCUCGUUGGGGGGGUAAGGGCCCACCAAGGCGACGAUCCGUAGCUGGUCUGAGAGGAUGAUCAGCCACACUGGAACUGAGACACGGUCCAGACUCCUACGGGAGGCAGCAGUGGGGAAUAUUGGACAAUGGGCGCAAGCCUGAUCCAGCCAUACGGCGUGGGUGAAGAAGGCCUUCGGGUUGUAAAGCCCUUUUGUUGGGAAAGAAAAGCAGCAGGUUAAGACCCCGCUGUUCUGACGGUACCCAAAGAAUAAGCACCGGCUAACUUCGU
This 491-nucleotide ribosomal RNA is filed under the name uncultured bacterium. Its description in RNAcentral is "partial 16S ribosomal RNA". It matches the Rfam family "Bacterial small subunit ribosomal RNA", at positions 29 to 506 of the family's 1533-position model. The record is from RNAcentral.